RNAcentral lists this long non-coding RNA (489 nucleotides) under Eutrema salsugineum. RNAcentral's name for it is "long non-coding RNA (ESAL_LNC001927)". Lineage: Eukaryota; Viridiplantae; Streptophyta; Magnoliopsida; Brassicales; Brassicaceae. The record is from RNAcentral.
UUUGUUUACUUAGUUUUUGUGAGUUGACGCCAGAUUUGUUCGAAAACCUGGAUGAUUAGAUCAUGAUACUCCUUUGGAUUCAAGGUAAGGUAACAAGCAAGAAGAUCCUCCAAGUCUUUUGAAGCUCUGAUGUUGUUCUCUUCUAUCAUCUCCACCAUUGAUUCUCUGAAAUCUUUCUUUGGAUCAACAGAACUCUUCAUCACUGCGAAACUUUCAAGCACAACUUGUUUGCUCUCUGAUCUGGAAGUGCUUCGACGCGUACCUGAGAGUUGAAUUCUUGGAGAAUUUACCUUUUUGAGGUUUAUCCCUGCAGAUGAUUUUCUUCCACUAGAAAUUUUCUUUUGGUAUUUCCUCUCUGCUCUGCAUUCAUCAUCAUCUUCUUCUAACUCUUGCCUAAUCUUCACAGAAAGAUGGCUUUUUAGCGGCUUCUUAGCUGGGUUACUUGCAGGGCAAGCUUUCUCUAUCGAAUCAGACUCUUUGACCUUGUGC